This 500-nucleotide ribosomal RNA is filed under the name uncultured bacterium. RNAcentral's name for it is "partial 16S ribosomal RNA". It matches the Rfam family "Bacterial small subunit ribosomal RNA", at positions 30 to 523 of the family's 1533-position model. The record is from RNAcentral.
AUUGAACGCUGGCGGAAUGCUUUACACAUGCAAGUCGAACGGCAGCACGGACUUCGGUCUGGUGGCGAGUGGCGAACGGGUGAGUAAUGUAUCGGAACGUGCCCAGUCGUGGGGGAUAACGUAGUGAAAAUUACGCUAAUACCGCAUACGAUCGAUGGAUGAAAGCGGGGGAGCGCAAGACCUCGCGCGAUUGGAGCGGACGAUAUCAGAUUAGGUAGUUGGUGGGGUAAAGGCCCACCAAGCCAACGAUCUGUAGCUGGUCUGAGAGGACGACCAGCCACACUGGAACUGAGACACGGUCCAGACUCCUACGGGAGGCAGCAGUGGGGAAUUUUGGACAAUGGGCGAAAGCCUGAUCCAGCCAUUCCGCGUGCAGGAUGAAGGCCCUCGGGUUGUAAACUGCUUUUGUACAGAACGAAAAGGUUUCUACUAAUACUAGGAGCUCAUGACGGUACUGUAAGAAUAAGCACCGGCUAACUACGUGCCAGCCGCCGCCGUAA